RNAcentral lists this non-coding RNA (21 nucleotides) under Caenorhabditis elegans. Lineage: Eukaryota; Metazoa; Nematoda; Chromadorea; Rhabditida; Rhabditidae. The record is from RNAcentral.
UUUUUUUUUUGGUAUCACUUU